RNAcentral lists this small RNA (123 nucleotides) under pig gut metagenome. Its description in RNAcentral is "Ribosomal protein L10 leader". It matches the Rfam family "Ribosomal protein L10 leader", at positions 14 to 135 of the family's 138-position model. Rfam says of the family: This family is a putative r-protein leader autoregulatory structure found in B. subtilis and other low-GC Gram-positive bacteria. It is located in the 5' untranslated regions of mRNAs encoding ribosomal proteins L10 and L12 (rplJ-rplL). The record is from RNAcentral.
UGAACUGCCGUAGACAGUAGGUGCUGAAAAGCGUAAGGAUAAAACGCCUGCCGAGGAAGAAUCGUGAAUUAGUAAAUUGACGUCUUAUUCCCUUGCUACGAAGUGAGGGGAUUUUUAUUUUUC